AUUGAACGCUGGCGGCAUGCUUUACACAUGCGAGUCGAACGGUAACAGGCCGCAAGGUGCUGACGAGUGGCGAACGGGUGAGUAAUGCAUCGGAACGUGCCCAGUCGUGGGGGAUAACUACUUGAAAGAGUAGCUAAUACCGCAUACGAUCUAUGGAUGAAAGCGGGGGACCGUAAGGCCUCGCGCGAUUGGAGCGGCCGAUGUCAGAUUAGGUAGUUGGUGGGGUAAAGGCUCACCAAGCCAACGAUCUGUAGCUGGUCUGAGAGGACGACCAGCCACACUGGGACUGAGACACGGCCCAGACUCCUACGGGAGGCAGCAGUGGGGAAUUUUGGACAAUGGGCGCAAGCCUGAUCCAGCAAUGCCGCGUGCAGGAAGAAGGCCUUCGGGUUGUAAACUGCUUUUGUACGGAACGAAACGGCUCUGGUUAAUACCCGGGGCUAAUGACGGUACCGUAAGAAUAAGCACCGGCUAACUACGUG
This 482-nucleotide ribosomal RNA is filed under the name uncultured bacterium. RNAcentral describes it as "partial 16S ribosomal RNA". It matches the Rfam family "Bacterial small subunit ribosomal RNA", at positions 30 to 507 of the family's 1533-position model. The record is from RNAcentral.